Molecule: long non-coding RNA, 2943 nt
Filed under: Coffea arabica (coffee)
Lineage: Eukaryota; Viridiplantae; Streptophyta; Magnoliopsida; Gentianales; Rubiaceae
Description: long non-coding RNA (CARA_LNC000836)
Source: RNAcentral
UUUUUUUUUUUUUUUUUUUGGUAAGAGGGCGGGCGUAGGCCCUUAACAAGGGACAAUGUAAGGGUAAGCUUCGAAGUGUUCAAAGUUUGUUAGGAAACAUUUAUAAAUUAAACCGCAUAUAAAGUCAUUAAUUGUCUAUCUUGCGAGACCAUUUUAAGAUGAGUACAUUUAAGGAAAAAUCAUUCAAAACGUCACUUACAUUUUAUCAAAUAAAAUUUUUCAUUAUUCACUUUUAAAAUGAUAACUUGACGUUUCUUACAAAAUCAAAUUGAUAAAUUUUUGUUCCAACCUAGAUUUUUGAUUAUUUUUUACGUUGAAUCCAUCAUGUAACUGACACAUAUUUAUUUUUUUUAAGGGCAAAAAGAUUAUAUGUCAUUUAUAGUUAAACCAACAAUUCAAUCCAUAUUCAUUUAAAAAAAGGAUCUAAGCUGAAUCAUAUUUAUUUUUUUCCCAAAAGAAGUAGCAUAUGAUCCAAUCCACAUUUAUUUUUGUAACUAAAAAAAGUGAGAUUUGACCUUUUUUUUUACGUAAAAAAUAAUUGUAUACGAGUCACAUGGUGAUUUCAAACUAAAAAGUAAUUGAAAAUUUAGGUUGAGACCUAAUUUUAGUAAUUUGAAUUUGUAAGGAACGUAAAGUUAACGUUUUAAAAGUAAAGAACCAAAAAAUUCAUUUAACAAAAUAUGAGAAAUAUUUUGAAUAAUUUUCCCUACAUUUGAUCAUUACUUAUCCAAAAGUUUUUUUGUGUUCUCAAAAGAUAAGCCCUUUUUUUUUUUUUUUUUGUGGACAUAGUAAUCAGGCUUAAUCUCGUUUGGAAUUCCUACUACCAACUUAAAAUGCUCAAAGAAAUUAGAAGCAGGACAUUUUAUUUGAUGUAGUUUAGUUACAACAGAAUACGUUGGUUUUGAUCGUUAUUUUAUUUUGGAGUGAUUGCUUGGAUUGUUACCUUAAAAUGAAGGGGAAGAUGGGAAAAAAGGUUCGAGAAACGAAAAACUGCACCUUUGGAUCCUUCGCAAAUGACAUUUACUUGCUCAGUGUCUGAUGAUGACUUAGCUUCAAAAUCAGUUCGCCGGAUUCUUCUUUCAGAUAAGGUGCAGGAUCAGGAUGGUGCGCGAGGAGGACGAAUACGAAUAUGGCUACUGCUAUCAAUCCAACUUUCAUCGGGUUUAAAGUAGUCAUUGAAUUACAAUUAAUUAUUGAUACAGUAGCUAUUUUGCGUAAGUGAAACAUUGAAGAACGUAAUACAAAGCCCCAGCUAAGCCAUGAAAGGAGGAAGGACGAUAACUUGGAAUGUAAGGAUUACAAGGAAAGAAAACAGUCAUCAUCUCCAUUUUAUUUUUCCAAAGUGCUGAUUUUCUGGAGCAGAGGAGAGACAAUCCAGGGCACUCUGAGCAUCGUCGCCGGCGCUCUCAAAAAUCUGUCAGGCAUUCCAGUGCCGCUCCAGCGCUUUGCCACCACGUUCUUGAAAAAGUCACCGGUCUUGGCACUGACCGCUAUAUGUCACUGUCCUCCGAACGAAGGGAAGGUUCAGUGGAAGGAAGAACUUGAAAGUAGUCGAGGAGAAGGCUUUGGUCUAAUGACUAAAAUUGAAAGUUAAAAACUUACAAAUCAAAUCCCCUUUCUCCAUCCUUAGCUUCUUAAAUCUCAUUUCCCACUGCUUAGAAAAAAAGAAAAAGAAAAAGAAAAGAAAGAAACACUUGAAAGCCAUCGUCUCUUCUCGUCUUGUCUAGUGCUAAACUGCUAAUGCCAAAAGAAGAAAGCUAAUUAGACGACUGGAGCAAAUAGAACCUCGUUGUGUGCCGAAACAGAAAUACAGAAAUACAGAGUCAUAUACAUUAUUAUUAUUGACUUGCGUGGUAGGAAGGAGUACUAGAUAGAUAGAAUGGUGGCCUUUGUCUGGUUUUUUUACCAGGAGGUUACUUUUAAGGAGAGAUUUGGUAGAAAGAAGCGCUUUUCCCCACCUUUCAUCCGACUUGAAUGAGUUACCAUUCUUACCCGUAAGAGGUUGCUGAAUAGCGUAAUUACACACUCUGAUUUUUAGGCUAGACCCAUCCUUUGUUUUAUUUUAUCGACUGACAAUAUGCCCUCUAGGACGCCUGUGAGGAUCGGAUCUUCUGCAGUCACAGUUGUGAUUGGAAACAACAGUUUAUGUUGUGGAUCGCGUCAUUUUGAAAUGGAUGGCUGUGAUUUAAUUUAUUUAUGAAUACAAAAUCAACAAUAGUUGUUGUGGUUUUGCAUGUUGUUGUUCUAAUAUCUAGAGGUUAGUUAGUUUAGUGUCCAUAUUUAUCGUAUGACAACAACCGCAGAAACCCUUGAUCCUGUGUAGUAGACCGAGCAGAACGAACCAUUGAACGGGAAAGAUCCGAAAAGCUGAAAAUACGAGUAUGUCAGCAGUGAAUUUUGACCUCCCUGUCUCAGAAUCAGAGCAAACUAGGGGGAAAAAAAAAAGCAGCACCCACGUUAAGCCUGAAGUCAGGCAAGAUUGCCAUCGUUGCAGAUGAGGUCCAACCAAUUAAAGCAGCAAAAGAAAGCUUGCAAAUUAGAUAGCAGAUUCAUUUGAGCUCUAUAGUUCCUCGAUGUGUAUUCAACAUGGUGCGACUUUCAAAAUGCGUUCUAUACAACAGGGAGCAUAUGAUCAUAAUUAACGUGCCGAGAAACUUCAGCUACAGUAGGCAAAUAAAAUGACAAAAAGGAAAAAGAAAAGACAAAAGGGAAAGAAAAUCUUUAAGACUUCUAGUUUCUAGUACAACAGUAACCAUGAAUAUUUACACUCUCAUCCAACAUGUAGAGAAUGACCACCAAACAGGGGGAAAACUGAUAAUGCUUCUCUACAAGGGAUGAAAGAAGGCACCAAUUUCCAUCCCUUCAAUUAAAAAGAGUUAAACUGAAUUUUUCCAUUUCGAAUAAUCUCACCACACAAAGCAUGACAUGUUAAAACAACAGCUU